This 407-nucleotide ribosomal RNA is filed under the name uncultured bacterium. RNAcentral describes it as "partial 16S ribosomal RNA". It matches the Rfam family "Bacterial small subunit ribosomal RNA", at positions 30 to 526 of the family's 1533-position model. The record is from RNAcentral.
AUUGAACGCUGGCGGCAGGCCUAACACAUGCAAGUCGAACGGAGUGGCGGACGGGUGAGAAAUGUCUGGGAAACUGCCUGAUGGAGGGGGAUAACGUCCGGAAACGGGCGCUAAUACCGCAUACUAUCAGAUGAGCCUAGGUCGGAUUCGCUAGUUGGUGGGGUAAAGGCCAACCAAGGCGACGAUCCGUAACUGGUCUGAGAGGAUGAUCAGUCACCCUGGAACUGGGACACGGUCCAGACUCCUACGGGAGGCAGCAGUGGGGAAUAUUGGAAAAUGGGCGAAAGCCUGAUCAAGCCAUGCCGCGUGUGUGAAGAAGGUCUUCGGAUUGUAAAGCACUUUAAGUUGGGAGGCGUUACCAACAGAGUAAGCACCGGCUAACUUCGUGCCAGCAGCCGCGGUAAUAC